Molecule: long non-coding RNA, 986 nt
Organism: Lynx canadensis (Canada lynx)
Lineage: Eukaryota; Metazoa; Chordata; Mammalia; Carnivora; Felidae
Exons: 3
Source: RefSeq, a predicted model, not a curated record
CCUAUCCUGCAGGGUCACGAGCAGCCCCACCGGCUCUCCUGCUGAGCAAUGCUAUGGCGGCAGGCCCAGGUGCCAGGGGUGACCUCUCCUCGGCAAUGAAGGAGGGGUGCCACGCCCGCCCGCUUGGUGGGUAAUUACUGCCGGUCUCCUACCUGACCUCUCCUGCCCGUUUGCCUCGAGGGGAACCAGUCAAAGCUCCAGCCAGAGUGGGCCUCACAGGCCAGCCUGCUCACCGCGCCUGCUUUGCCCGCGUCACCUGCCUGCCCUGCCGGCCCUGCAGCAUUCCGUCCCCGAGGAGGAGCUGACCCUUGGCUGCCUGAUGCCUGGUGCCUGGUGCCUUUGCUGAUUUCCCUAUUCUGGACGUUUCGUGCAAAUGGAAUCACACAAAGUUCUUUGGGAUCUUAAUAUUUUUUGAAACCCCAUGUUAAAUGGGUGCUCGGGGCUCUGAACAUUCCCUUGUUGGAUAUUUUGGUUAACUUGAACGUUCGUCUGCUUUGGGAGGACCACCCACCUCGCCCCCACUGGAAGAUCCGGAGGUGGGAUCAUAAAGGAUGAGUGGAAAGUGGGGCGCCCGCCCUGUCUUUGUUCCCAGCACCCCGUUGGAAGAGUGGGUUAUCACGCACUCCUCCAGAGACUCGGGCCCCUCCUCGGCUCAUGCAGGUUCCCCCGGUGCUGUCACCGUCCGCUCGUAGAGGCACUCGGCAAACGUUGGCUGGCAGGAACCCCUUCCGUGUUGCUAAUAAGGACGAUCAUUGGAAAGAGACACCGAGAUCGGGUGGAAAAAGUGAGCGGUCCAGCUUGGAAGGAGGAUUUCCUGCACAAUCGAAACCCCAACCCAGACCAAGCCUGAGUAAGGCCGCAAAGUAAUGGGGGUAGGGUUUUCAUGUGACUUGUCCACUGACUCCCAAAGGUGGUUCCCAUAAUGCCCUCAGCCAUGGCAGACCACUGCGUGUCCCCACCCCACCCCCCGCCCCCAAUGCCAGUUC